UAAACCUCUUCUCUUCCGCCGAAAAAAUGUCCUAAACAAUGGAACCUCGUCGACGAGUACAACCUCGGAUCCUCCGACAAAGGAAGAACCAGCUCCCACAAGACAUCGUACUCAACAUUCAGGAUUUCCAGAAUGUUGCAGUCAACCCUAUGAAAUUCACAGUACACCAUACCGAGAGGUGGCCAGAAUUAAGCAAUAGGAACUUGUGCCGAUACAGAUAAUUGUACCUGCCCAAAAACUGACGUUAAAGGCAGCGGCAUUAUAGCAGCCCCUUUUCCAACUGGUGUAGUUGAUGUAGUUGUUGUUGUUGCAGGACCAUGUGGUGGGGUGUGCCUGCCACCAUCUCCUCCUCUAUAUGAAGAUUUCCAGAUCUACCGAAUAGGAUUUGAGGAUCAAAUGGACUAUGUAAUAUUGUAUUUGUUAAAUGUUUUAUGAUCAGGUAGGAAAACGAAUUGGAUCGAUAACCUGAUUAUAAAAAAAUAGCAAAUUAAUCA
This is a long non-coding RNA of Quercus robur (English oak), 494 nucleotides long. RefSeq lists it as uncharacterized. The transcript is spliced from 2 exons. NCBI's taxonomy places the organism in Eukaryota, Viridiplantae, Streptophyta, Magnoliopsida, Fagales, Fagaceae. The record is from RefSeq and is a predicted model, not a curated record.